AUUCGGCUGACCAGUCCCAAACAGGACGAAACGCGAGUCCUGGAU
Schistosoma curassoni is the source of this 45-nucleotide non-coding RNA. The record is from Rfam. Lineage: Eukaryota; Metazoa; Platyhelminthes; Trematoda; Strigeidida; Schistosomatidae.